GCCUCUGUGGCACAGCUGGUUAGCGUGUUUGACUCUUAACUGAAAUGUUGGUGGUUCAAGCCCACCCAAGGACA
RNAcentral lists this transfer RNA (74 nucleotides) under Colius striatus (speckled mousebird). It matches the Rfam family "tRNA". From Rfam's summary of the family: Transfer RNA (tRNA) molecules are approximately 80 nucleotides in length. Their secondary structure includes four short double-helical elements and three loops (D, anti-codon, and T loops). The record is from Rfam by way of RNAcentral. Lineage: Eukaryota; Metazoa; Chordata; Aves; Coliiformes; Coliidae.